GAUGAACGCUGGCGGCGUGCCUAAUACAUGCAAGUCGAGCGAACAGACUAGGAGCUUGCUCCUCUGACGUUAGCGGCGGACGGGUGAGUAACACGUGGAUAACCUACCUAUAAGAAUGGGACAACUUCGGGAAACCGGAGCUAAAACCGGAUAAUAUAUUGAACCGCAGGGUUCAAGAGUGAAAGACGGUUCUGCUGUCACGUAUAGAUGGAUCCGCGCCGCAUUAGCUGGUUGGGAAGGUAACGGCUUACCAAGGCGACGAUGCGUAGCCGCCCUGAGAGGGUGAUCGGCCACACUGGCACUGGGCCAACCUCCAGACCCCUACGGGAGGCAACAGUAGGGAACCUUCCGCCAUGGGCGAAAGCCUGACAGAGCCCCGCCGCGUGAGUGAUGAAGGUCUUCGGAUCGCAACACUCUCUUAUUAGGGAAGACCAAAUGUGUAAGUACCUAUGCCCGUCUUGACGGUCCCUAAUCAGAAAGCCACGGCUAACUACGUG
RNAcentral lists this ribosomal RNA (497 nucleotides) under uncultured bacterium. Its description in RNAcentral is "partial 16S ribosomal RNA". It matches the Rfam family "Bacterial small subunit ribosomal RNA", at positions 28 to 507 of the family's 1533-position model. The record is from RNAcentral.